CCUACGGGUGGCAGCAGUGAGGAAUAUUGGUCAAUGGGCGUAAGCCUGAACCAGCCAAGUCGCGUGAGGGAUGAAGGUUCUAUGGAUCGUAAACCUCUUUUAUAAGGGAAUAAAGUGUAGGACGUGUACUGUUUUGUAUGUACCUUAUGAAUAAGGAUCGUAUAACUCCGUGCCAGCAGCCGCGGUAAUACGGUGGAGACGAGCGUUAUCCGGAUUUAUUGGGUUUAAAGGGUGCGUAGGCGGAAUAUCAAGUCAGCGGUAAAAAUUCGGGGCUCAACCCCGUCGUGCCGUUGAAACUGAUGUUCGUGAGUGGGCGAGAAGUAGGCGGAAUGCGUGGUGUAGCGGUGAAAUGCAUAGAUAUCACGCAGGACUCCGAUUGCGAAGGCAGCAUACCGGCGCCCAACUGACGCUGAAGCACGAAAGCGUGGGUAUCGAACAGGAUUAGAUACCCGUGUAGUC
This 459-nucleotide ribosomal RNA is filed under the name uncultured bacterium. Its description in RNAcentral is "partial 16S ribosomal RNA". It matches the Rfam family "Bacterial small subunit ribosomal RNA", at positions 338 to 795 of the family's 1533-position model. The record is from RNAcentral.